AUUUUGAUGUCUACAGUCAUCCUUGACAUUCAUUACUGCACAUCAAUUUAGUCAUUCCGUUACGAUUUCGUCAACUAUUAUGUUAGUUUGUAUGUGAGACCCACAAAUCUAAUGAAAUGGUGACCCAUAGAUUACACAAAAUAAGGGUUUUUAUUGCAAAUGGUCCCUGACAUUGAUCACUCCUCAUUUUGGUCCUUGAGUUUCAAAAAUCAAUAAAUUUGGUCUUUAACUUCCAAUACCGCACAUCAAUUUAAUCCUUCCGGUAAUGUUUCAUCAAUAUUUUUUGUCCCAUUAAUCCAAUCAUAUGGCACCACAUGGAUUAACUAUAAGAAACUUUUUUUUUUUAAGAUUUAAAACUAAAAGUAAAAUAAGAAACUAAAAGAAAAGAAAAAAGUCAUUGUCAUCUUUAUCAGGGUAUGCUCAAAAGGAAAACAAAGGCAUCAUGACACCACUCAAGUACUUGGCCUCCUGAACUGACUCAUCAUUCUCUCUAGUUGAUUAUAAUCCUAAGUCCUAUCAAAUUUGAAUUGAACUUGGAUUCGAUUUUAUCGAAUUUAGAUUGAAUUUUUCUUUUUCCAUGCCGGAUGCAAGAAAAAUGCCAGCGCGGAAUACUCUUCGUUUGGUUCACUCUUAAAAAAAUAGUUUCUUAUAGUUAAUCCACGUUGAGCCAUAUAAUUGGAUUAGUGGGACCACAUUAAAGGAGGAAAUAAAUUGAUGCGCGGUAGUGAAAGUCAAGGAACAAAUUUAUCGAUUUUUGAAACUUAGGGACCAAAAUGAGGAGUUGGAUCAAUGCCAGGGACCAUUUGUGAUAAAAACCCUUAUUUUGUGUAUUCCAAGUGUCACCAUUUUAUUGGAUUUGUGGGUCUCACAACCAAACUAACAUAAUAGUUGAUGGAAUCUUAACGGAAUGACUAAAUUGAUGUGAGGUAAUGAAUAUUAGGGAUGACAUUGUUCUUAUCAAUCUAAGGGGCCAUUUAUCAUUAGAGAAAGAAAAAAAAGAAAAAAAAAAGGGAAAGUGUUGUGACAUAUGUUCUUAUCAAUAUGUGAUUGUGUAAAUCCUAGGUAGAGAUAAAGUAGGAAUCCUUUGGGAUCUAGAAAAUCUUUCCUAAUAUAAUUUGUAUUACUUGGAGAGCAAGUUUCUCUCCUCCUAAUUACUAUAAAUAAAGGCACAAGGACUAGGGAAUUAAUACACAAUUCCUCAAGUAUAUUCUCAAUCUCUCUCUUCCCUUUACCGCAACACUCUACUAAAUAUAGGCCAUAACACGUUAUCAGCAUGCUCUUCAUGUUGUGCUAAACAGAAUUUAUUUGUCUUCAAUCAAGGGAGUAUUACGUUUCAAUUAUUUUAAUUGAUUCAAUUUUGAUUUUAUUGAAUUCAUAUACUUUUAUUAAUUCAAUUUAUUUUUCUUCUUAUGUUGAACGUGAUACAAGCUUGAAGAUGAAAGCCGAAAUUGAAGAAAGACUCUUACAAACCCGUUCACAAUAUUCAUCACGCUGGGGUGCCUGAACGAAACCCAAAAAUUUGGGCCUUGGGCUCGAGUCA
This 1540-nucleotide long non-coding RNA is filed under the name Malus domestica (apple). RNAcentral describes it as "long non-coding RNA (MDOM_LNC011415)". The record is from RNAcentral. Lineage: Eukaryota; Viridiplantae; Streptophyta; Magnoliopsida; Rosales; Rosaceae.